CGGCCGCGGGAUUCGAUUAGAGUUUGAUCCUGGCUCAGAUUGAACGCUGGCGGAAUGCUUUACACAUGCAAGUCGAACGGCAGCACGGGUGCUUGCACCUGGUGGCGAGUGGCGAACGGGUGAGUAAUGCGUCGGGACGUACCGAGUAAUGGGGGAUAACGCAGCGAAAGUUGUGCUAAUACCGCAUACGCCCUGAGGGGGAAAGCGGGGGAUCGUAAGACCUCGCGUUAUUCGAGCGGCCGACGUCUGAUUAGCUAGUUGGUGGGGUAAAGGCCUACCAAGGCGACGAUCAGUAGCGGGUCUGAGAGGAUGAUCCGCCACACUGGGACUGAGACACGGCCCAGACUCCUACGGGAGGCAGCAGUGGGGAAUUUUGGACAAUGGGGGCAACCAUGAUCCAGCAAUGCCGCGUGAGUGAUGAAGGCCUUCGGGUUGUAAAGCUCUUUUGCCAGGGACGAUGAUGACGGUACCUGGAGAAUAAGCCCCGGCUAACUUCGUGCCAGCAGCCCCGGUCAA
RNAcentral lists this ribosomal RNA (516 nucleotides) under uncultured bacterium. RNAcentral's name for it is "bacterial SSU rRNA". It matches the Rfam family "Bacterial small subunit ribosomal RNA", at positions 1 to 524 of the family's 1533-position model. The record is from RNAcentral.